This 253-nucleotide ribosomal RNA is filed under the name uncultured bacterium. RNAcentral describes it as "partial 16S ribosomal RNA". It matches the Rfam family "Bacterial small subunit ribosomal RNA", at positions 524 to 776 of the family's 1533-position model. RNAcentral also lists the same sequence under 1 other name. The record is from RNAcentral.
UACGUAGGUGGCAAGCGUUGUCCGGAAUUAUUGGGCGUAAAGCGCGCGCAGGUGGUUUCUUAAGUCUGAUGUGAAAGCCCACGGCUCAACCGUGGAGGGUCAUUGGAAACUGGGGAACUUGAGUGCAGGAGAGAAGAGUGGAAUUCCACGUGUAGCGGUGAAAUGCGUAGAGAUGUGGAGGAACACCAGUGGCGAAGGCGACUCUUUGGCCUGUAACUGACACUGAGGCGCGAAAGCGUGGGGAGCAAACAGG